This 253-nucleotide ribosomal RNA is filed under the name Acidobacterium sp. RNAcentral describes it as "partial 16S ribosomal RNA". It matches the Rfam family "Bacterial small subunit ribosomal RNA", at positions 524 to 776 of the family's 1533-position model. The record is from RNAcentral. RNAcentral also lists the same sequence under 1 other name. Lineage: Bacteria; Pseudomonadati; Acidobacteriota; Terriglobia; Terriglobales; Acidobacteriaceae.
UACGGGGGGGGCAAGCGUUGUUCGGAAUUACUGGGCGUAAAGGGCUCGUAGGUGGCCAACUAAGUCAGACGUGAAAUCCCUCAGCUUAACUGGGGAACUGCGUCUGAUACUGGAUGGCUUGAGUUUGGGAGAGGGAUGCGGAAUUCCAGGUGUAGCGGUGAAAUGCGUAGAUAUCUGGAGGAACACCGGUGGCGAAGGCGGCAUCCUGGACCAACACUGACACUGAUGAGCGAAAGCCAGGGGAGCAAACGGG